RNAcentral lists this unclassified non-coding RNA (301 nucleotides) under Hevea brasiliensis (rubber tree). Lineage: Eukaryota; Viridiplantae; Streptophyta; Magnoliopsida; Malpighiales; Euphorbiaceae. The record is from RNAcentral.
GAUACAAGAUUUUAUUUGGUUCAAUCAAUAGAUCUAUAUCCCCAGGAGAGAGAGCUAGAGAUUUCACUAUAGAACAAUAGCGAUUACACGAUACAAGUUGUCUUCAAUCUCACAACCCCUUGCCCUUUACACGCAAAAUACAAUAGAACACACAAGAAUUUCGCCUUUGUCUAGAGCCCAAAACCAACUAGAAUACACAAAAAUUACAACUUUGGGGGGUUUGUCCUUCUUCUAGAGUUAUUAGGAUAUGUUUCCCAUGUUUUAGAUGAGUAUUUAUAGUGUUUGGGAGUCUUAAAUCAUG